GGAGAAUUACAGCAGUGUGCUUCCAGCAAGGACACUAACAACAAGAAUGGAGAAUUACAACAGUGUGCUUCCAGCAGGGACACUUACAACAAGAAUGGAGAAUUACAGCAGUGGCUAAGAGCUCAUAAUAGACAACCAAGAGGACGAGAAGAAGAAGGGGAACCAUAGGGAGGUACAGAAGAAAACACUUGUUCUUCAAGUGGAGAGGAGCCCAACCUGAACAAACCUUUUUUUUUUUUUUUCACCAGCCAAAAAGCUGGUGCUGCUGAGAGAAGGAGGAAGACAAAGGGAGAAACGCACAGAUAAACCAGAGUCUCAGAGUCUCAGAUUUAGUAACUUGCAGGCCAGGCCUCAUGUGUCUCCAAGAAGCCUAUUUUCCAAAACAUACGUGUGUUUGUUGUUGAAGG
This 407-nucleotide long non-coding RNA is filed under the name Salmo salar (Atlantic salmon). Its description in RNAcentral is "lncRNA (ENSSSAG00000089872.1)". Lineage: Eukaryota; Metazoa; Chordata; Actinopteri; Salmoniformes; Salmonidae. The record is from RNAcentral.